CCGAGUUUAGCAACUCCCAAACCCCUGUGAACAUACCACUUGUUGCCUCGGCGGAUCAGCCCGCUCCCGGUAAAACGGGACGGCCCGCCAGAGGACCCCUAAACUCUGUUUCUAUAUGUAACUUCUGAGUAAAACCAUAAAUAAAUCA
RNAcentral lists this unclassified non-coding RNA (148 nucleotides) under soil metagenome. RNAcentral describes it as "partial internal transcribed spacer 1". The record is from RNAcentral.